This 253-nucleotide ribosomal RNA is filed under the name uncultured bacterium. RNAcentral's name for it is "partial 16S ribosomal RNA". It matches the Rfam family "Bacterial small subunit ribosomal RNA", at positions 524 to 776 of the family's 1533-position model. The record is from RNAcentral.
UACGUAGGGGGCUAGCGUUGUCCGGAUUGAUUGGGCGUAAAGAGCGUGUAGGCGGCCAGGUAGGUCUGCUGUGAAAACUCGAGGCUCAACCUCGAGACGUCGGCGGAAACCAUCUGGCUAGAGUCCGGAAGAGGAGAGUGGAAUUCCUGGUGUAGCGGUGAAAUGCGCAGAUAUCAGGAAGAACACCCGUGGCGAGGGCGGCUCUCUGGGACGGUACUGACGCUGAGACGCGAAAGCGUGGGGAGCGAACAGG